UGAUAGAAGCCACAACUGAAUCCAUGCCUGGAAGUGCUUCUCAGAUGCAGAGAUGGCAGCGGAGGAUUGAAACAGUGUUGAUGGAGGAAGGCGCUCAAAGUGUUUGAUGGAAAUCCGGUGGUGAAUGGCUUUGGUGUAGUGGUGAAUUCUAACUCAGAUAGCUUUCCUAAGGGGAAAGGAGCUAGAGGAUAGGCAAGAUAACAUUGCACAAGAGUGAACUUGAGAAUGAAAG
This 232-nucleotide long non-coding RNA is filed under the name Vigna radiata. RNAcentral's name for it is "long non-coding RNA (VRAD_LNC012816)". The record is from RNAcentral. Lineage: Eukaryota; Viridiplantae; Streptophyta; Magnoliopsida; Fabales; Fabaceae.